GAUUAACGCUGGCGGCGUGCAUAACACAUGCAAGUCGAACGAUGAAACUUAACUGAUUUCUUCGGAAUGAUUUUAAGUGGAUUAGUGGCGGACGGGUGAGUAACGCGUGAGUAACCUGCCUUGGAGAAGGGGAUAGCCUUUGGAAACGAAGAAUAAUACCCUAUGAUAUGAUAAUAUCUCAUGAUAUUAUCAUCAAAGAUUUAUCGCUCUAAGAUGGACUUGCGUCUGAUUAGUUAGUUGGUGAGGUAACAGCUCACCAAGGCAGCGAUCAGUAGCCGGCUUGAGAGAGUGUACGGCCACCUUGGGACUGGGACAAGGCCCAGACUCCUACGGAAGGCAGCAGUGGGGAAUUUUGCACAAUGGGGGAAACCCUGAUGCAGCGACGCCGCGUGAUUUAGAAGGCCUUCGGGUUGUAAAAAUCUUUUGUAUGGGAAGAAAAUGACAGUACCAUACGAAUAAGGACCGGCUAAUUACGUG
Molecule: ribosomal RNA, 477 nt
Filed under: uncultured bacterium
Lineage: Bacteria
Description: partial 16S ribosomal RNA
Rfam family: Bacterial small subunit ribosomal RNA
Source: RNAcentral